AUGCAAGUCGAGCGGUAACAGGUGUAGCAAUACAUGCUGACGAGCGGCGAACGGGUGAGUAAUGUUUCGGAAUCUGCCCAAUGGUGGGGAAUAACCAGCCGAAAGGUUGGCUAAUACCGCAUACGCCCUACGGGGGAAAGCGGGGGAUCGCAAGACCUCGCGCCGAUGGAUGAGCCGAAACCGGAUUAGCUAGUUGGUAGGGUAACGGCCUACCAAGGCGACGAUCCGUAGCUGGUCUGAGAGGACGACCAGCCACACUGGGACUGAGACACGGCUCAGACUCCUACGGGAGGCAGCAGUGGGGAAUAUUGGACAAUGGGGGAAACCCUGAUCCAGCGACGCCGCGUGUGUGAAGAAGGCCUGCGGGUUGUAAAGCACUUUUAGUGGGGAUGAAAAGCUCAGGGCUAACACCGCUGAGUCUUGACCUAACCCACAGAAAAAGCACCGGCUAACUCUGUG
Molecule: ribosomal RNA, 459 nt
Filed under: uncultured bacterium
Lineage: Bacteria
Description: bacterial SSU rRNA
Rfam family: Bacterial small subunit ribosomal RNA
Source: RNAcentral